This 497-nucleotide ribosomal RNA is filed under the name uncultured bacterium. RNAcentral's name for it is "partial 16S ribosomal RNA". It matches the Rfam family "Bacterial small subunit ribosomal RNA", at positions 27 to 507 of the family's 1533-position model. The record is from RNAcentral.
GGGGGGGGGGGGGGGGGGGGGGGGGGGGGGGGGGGCGGGGGGGGGGGGGCGGGGCUUGCUGCUCGGACGUUGGCGGCGGGCGGGGGAGUAGCGCGUGGCUGACCGACCUCGCAGGCUGGGAUAACGUCGGGACACCGGAGCUAAUCCCGGCUCCGCUAUUGAACCCCAUGUUUCAAUAGUUGAAUCCGGUUUUGCUUUUACUUCUCGCUGUCUCCGCUCCGCAUUAGCUAGGUGGUAAGGUACCGGCUUACCAAGGCACCGAUGCGUAGCCGACCUGAGAGGGUGAUCGGCCAAACUGGAACUGAGACACGGGCCAGACUCCUACGGGAGGCAGCAGUAGGGAAUCUUCCGCAAUGGGGGAAAGCCUGACGUAGCAACGCCGCGUGAGUGAUGAAGGUCUUCGGAUCGUAAAACUCUGUUAUUAGGGAAGAACAAAUGUGUAAGUAACUAUGCACGUCUUGACGGUACCUAAUCAGAAAGCCACGGCUAACUACGUG